RNAcentral lists this ribosomal RNA (497 nucleotides) under uncultured bacterium. RNAcentral's name for it is "partial 16S ribosomal RNA". It matches the Rfam family "Bacterial small subunit ribosomal RNA", at positions 28 to 507 of the family's 1533-position model. The record is from RNAcentral.
GACGAACGCUGGCGGCGUGCCUAAUACAUGCCAGUAGAACGCUGAAGAGAGGAGCUUGCUCUUCUUGGAUGAGUUGCGAACGGGUGAGUAACGCGUAGGUAACCUGCCUUGUAGCGGGGGAUAACUAUUGGAAACGAUAGCUAAUACCGCAUAACAAUGGAUGACACAUGUCAUUUAUUUGAAAGGGGCAAUUGUUCCACUACAAGAUGGACCUGCGUUGUAUUAGCUAGUAGGUGAGGUAAUGGCUCACCUAGGCGACGAUACAUAGCCGACCUGAGAGGGUGAUCGGCCACACUGGGACUGAGACACGGCCCAGACUCCUACGGGAGGCAGCAGUAGGGAAUCUUCGGCAAUGGGGGCAACCCUGACCGAGCAACGCCGCGUGAGUGAAGAAGGGUUUCGGAUCGUAAAGCUCUGUUGUAAGUCAAGAACGGGUGUGAGAGUGGAAAGUUCACACUGUGACGGUAGCUUACCAGAAAGGGACGGCUAACUACGUG